AUCCAACACCCUUCUCCAUUCCAACCUGUCAGAAGCUCUAAUUGAAAAACAUACAGAAUAUCCAUCCAGUGACACUACUCACAGUGGGCAGUAGGGGGAGGUAGUGACACUACUCACAGUGGGCAGUAGGGGGAGGUAGUGACACUAUUCACAGUGGGCAGUAGGGGGAGGUAGUGACACUACUCACAGUGGGCAGUAGGGGGAGGUAGUGACACUACUCACAGUGGGCAGUAGAGGGAGGUAGUGGACUAUUCACUUCUGAGACCAUAGGAAUCCACAUAUAGAAGGUCACUACACCCUGCCACACCUCUAUUUCUCUUUCUCUGUAUCUCUCUCCCUCACACUCCUCCAC
This is a long non-coding RNA of Oncorhynchus tshawytscha (Chinook salmon), 352 nucleotides long. Lineage: Eukaryota; Metazoa; Chordata; Actinopteri; Salmoniformes; Salmonidae. The record is from Ensembl.